Molecule: ribosomal RNA, 254 nt
Filed under: uncultured bacterium
Lineage: Bacteria
Description: partial 16S ribosomal RNA
Rfam family: Bacterial small subunit ribosomal RNA
Source: RNAcentral
UACGUAGGGGGCAAGCGUUUGUCCGGAUUUAUUGGGCGUAAAGAGCGUGUAGGCGGCCAAACAGGUCAGCUGUGAAAACUCGAGGCUUAACCUCGAGCUGUCGGCGGAAACCAUCUGGCUAGAGUCCGGAAGAGGAGAAUGGAAUUCCCGGUGUAGCGGUGAAAUGCGCAGAUAUCGGGAAGAACACCCGUGGCGAAGGCGGUUCUCUGGGACGGUACUGACGCUGAGACGCGAAAGCGUGGGGAGCGAACAGG